CCUGAAGUGAGAUUCUGCCAAGACCUUGAU
Molecule: non-coding RNA, 30 nt
Filed under: Rattus norvegicus (Norway rat)
Lineage: Eukaryota; Metazoa; Chordata; Mammalia; Rodentia; Muridae
Source: RNAcentral